Molecule: long non-coding RNA, 660 nt
Organism: Tympanuchus pallidicinctus (lesser prairie-chicken)
Lineage: Eukaryota; Metazoa; Chordata; Aves; Galliformes; Phasianidae
Exons: 3
Source: RefSeq, a predicted model, not a curated record
CGGAGAUAUCCUUCCGCCGUCUCCUCAGGGCGGGCUGACGCGUUCAGCCCAGCCAGGCCGCGGCGGGACGAGGAAAGCAGCGCAGGAGAUGGCGAGUUAUUGAGCUCAACUGGAAGCGGUAACGCACCGCUCCCAGCCAUUGUGAAGAGAUUAAACUUUGUACUACUUUUCCAGCCCCAGGCUCAGGCUGUGCUAUCUGAAGCUUCUUGCAGCAUUUGGUUCUUCUCGUUUUGUGUUGCUGCUGGCCUUCUGAUGCCAGAGAUCACCACAGGAAAUAUUUGUAUGGCAUGUCUCGCUUGCUGCAUGACUGAUCCGUACCUCAGCAAAACUUGGGAUAUUUUCUAGGUCUUCACAAUGACAGAAGACAAGUCUCUGUGGGAUUCACACCCUUCUGCUGGGGUUUUCUCACCAUUCUCCAUGCUAACAUGAACCAACAGCUGGGUUUAAGAGAUCUGUUAUAAAUAGUAACAUCGUGCUGCUAGCAAGCUUCUUGGAAAGUAAAGAAAAUACGUUAUUUAAUGCACUCUGACAUUUGCUUUUCCUCCCCUAUUCCUGAGCUGCAUUUCUGUAAACAUCCGUAACAACAAAUGCACAGAAGUUGACUUCUUCACGUAGACAUAACAAGUGCUGCCUUGAGCCCAGGAGAUGAUACCCAGAACA